GAUGAACGCUGGCGGCGUGCCUAAUACAUGCAAGUCGAGCGAACAGACGAGGAGCUUGCUCCUCUGACGUUAGCGGCGGACGGGUGAGUAACACGUGGAUAACCUACCUAUAAGACUGGGAUAACUUCGGGAAACCGGAGCUAAUACCGGAUAAUAUAUUGAACCGCAGGGUUCAAUAGUGAAAGACGGUUUUGCUGUCACUUAUAGAUGGAUCCGCGCCGCAUUAGCUAGUUGGUAAGGUAACGGCUUACCAAGACAACGAUGCGUAGCCGACCUGAGAGGGUGAUCGGCCACACUGGAACUGAGACACGGUCCAGACUCCUACGGGAGGCAGCAGUAGGGAAUCUUCCGCAAUGGGCGAAAGCCUGACGGAGCAACGCCGCGUGAGUGAUGAAGGUCUUCGGAUCGUAAAACUCUGUUAUUAGGGAAGAACAAAUGUGUAAGUAACUAUGCACGUCUUGACGGUACCUAAUCAGAAAGCCACGGCUAACUACGUG
Molecule: ribosomal RNA, 497 nt
Filed under: uncultured bacterium
Lineage: Bacteria
Description: partial 16S ribosomal RNA
Rfam family: Bacterial small subunit ribosomal RNA
Source: RNAcentral